GCAGAAUUCAGUGAAUCAUCCGAAUCCUUUGAACGCACAUUGCGCCCCUGGUAUUCCGGGGGGCAUGCCUGUUCGAGCGUCAUUUCACCACUCAAGCCUCGCUUGGUAUUGGGCAACGCGGUCCGCCGCGUGCCUCAAAUCGACCGGCUGGGUCUUCUGUCCCCUAAGCGUUGUGGAAACUAUUCGCUAAAGGGUGUUCGGGAGGCUACGCCGUAAAACAACCCCAUUUCUAAGGUUGACCUCGGAUCAGGUAGGGAUACCCGCUGAACUUAAGCAUAUCAUAAGGCGGAGG
This 292-nucleotide unclassified non-coding RNA is filed under the name Cladosporium cladosporioides. RNAcentral's name for it is "sequence contains ITS1, 5.8S rRNA gene, ITS2, 28S rRNA gene". The stretch from base 1 to 82 matches the Rfam family "5.8S ribosomal RNA", at positions 74 to 154 of the family's 154-position model. The record is from RNAcentral. Lineage: Eukaryota; Fungi; Ascomycota; Dothideomycetes; Cladosporiales; Cladosporiaceae.